GGAUCGGUGGCGCAGUGGUAGCGCACGCGAUUGCAGUGGCAUAGCCAGCUUCUAUCGUGUUGUCCCGUGUUCGAACCACGGUCGGUCCU
Molecule: transfer RNA, 89 nt
Organism: Exidia glandulosa HHB12029
Lineage: Eukaryota; Fungi; Basidiomycota; Agaricomycetes; Auriculariales; Exidiaceae
Rfam family: tRNA
About the family: Transfer RNA (tRNA) molecules are approximately 80 nucleotides in length. Their secondary structure includes four short double-helical elements and three loops (D, anti-codon, and T loops).
Source: Rfam